RNAcentral lists this ribosomal RNA (460 nucleotides) under uncultured bacterium. Its description in RNAcentral is "partial 16S ribosomal RNA". It matches the Rfam family "Bacterial small subunit ribosomal RNA", at positions 338 to 795 of the family's 1533-position model. The record is from RNAcentral.
CCUACGGGUGGCUGCAGUGAGGAAUAUUGGUCAAUGGGCGGAAGCCUGAACCAGCCAAGUCGCGUGAGGGAAUAAGGCCCUACGGGUCGUAAACCUCUUUUGCCGGGGAGCAAGGGCGGGGACGUGUCCCGGCCCGGAGAGUACCCGGAGAAAAAGCAUCGGCUAACUCCGUGCCAGCAGCCGCGGUAAUACGGAGGAUGCGAGCGUUAUCCGGAUUUAUUGGGUUUAAAGGGUGCGUAGGCGGGCGUUUAAGUCAGCGGUAAAAAUUCGGGGCUCAACCCCGUCGGGCCGUUGAAACUGGCGUCCUUGAGUGGGCGAGAAGAAGGCGGAAUGCGUGGUGUAGCGGUGAAAUGCAUAGAUAUCACGCAGAACUCCGAUUGCGAAGGCAGCCUACCGGCGCCCUACUGACGCUGAGGCACGAAAGUGCGGGUAUCGAACAGGAUUAGAUACCCGUGUAGUC